GAUUCUAUCGGCGUGGGAUGGGGUCGCGUCCUAUCAGCUUGUUGGUGAGGUAACGGCUCACCAAGGCUUCGACGGGUAGCCGGCCUGAGAGGGCGACCGGCCACAUUGGGACUGAGAUACGGCCCAGACUCCUACGGGAGGCAGCAGUGGGGAAUAUUGCACAAUGGGCGCAAGCCUGAUGCAGCGACGCCGCGUGAGGGAUGGAGGCCUUCGGGUUGUAAACCUCUUUUGUUUGGGAGCAAGCCUUCGGGUGAGUGUACCUUUCGAAUAAGCGCCGGCUAACUACGUGCCAGCAGCCGCGGUAAUACGUAGGGCGCAAGCGUUAUCCGGAUUUAUUGGGCGUAAAGGGCUCGUAGGCGGCUCGUCGCGUCCGGUGUGAAAGUCCAUCGCUUAACGGUGGAUCUGCGCCGGGUACGGGCGGGCUGGAGUGCGGUAGGGGAGACUGGAAUUCCCGGUGUAACGG
RNAcentral lists this ribosomal RNA (463 nucleotides) under Bifidobacterium bifidum. Its description in RNAcentral is "bacterial SSU rRNA". It matches the Rfam family "Bacterial small subunit ribosomal RNA", at positions 206 to 681 of the family's 1533-position model. Lineage: Bacteria; Bacillati; Actinomycetota; Actinomycetes; Bifidobacteriales; Bifidobacteriaceae. The record is from RNAcentral.